CCUACGGGUGGCAGCAGUGAGGAAUAUUGGUCAAUGGACGAGAGUCUGAACCAGCCAAGUAGCGUGAAGGAUGACUGCCCUAUGGGUUGUAAACUUCUUUUAUAAAGGAAUAAAACGAGGCACGUGUGCCUUUUUGCAUGUACUUUAUGAAUAAGGAUCGGCUAAAUCCGUGCCAGCAGCCGCGGUAAUACGGAGGAUCCGAGCGUUAUCCGGAUUUAUUGGGUUUAAAGGGAGCGUAGAUGGGUUGUUAAGUCAGUUGUGAAAGUUUGCGGCUCAACCGUAAAAUUGCAAUUGAUACUGGCAGUCGUGAGUACAGUUGAGGUAGGCGGAAUUCGUGGUGUAGCGGUGAAAUGCUUAGAUAUCACGAAGAACCCCGAUUGCGAAGGCAGCUUACUAAACUGUGACUGACAUUGAUGCUCGAAAGUGUGGGUAUCAAACAGGAUUAGAUACCCUGGUAGUC
Molecule: ribosomal RNA, 460 nt
Filed under: uncultured bacterium
Lineage: Bacteria
Description: partial 16S ribosomal RNA
Rfam family: Bacterial small subunit ribosomal RNA
Source: RNAcentral